UGCACACUCCCCUCAUAAAAGCUCCGAACGUUUGCUUCGUUCGAUUGAGCCAAGCGGAGUUGUGCCAGAGCAUUUGAAUGGUUGGGUGUCCAGAUAACUUUCCAUAGUUAAACUUGGCCAAUAAUCAUUUGGACAGCA
RNAcentral lists this small nucleolar RNA (138 nucleotides) under Drosophila sechellia. RNAcentral's name for it is "snoRNA:GM27600". The record is from RNAcentral. Lineage: Eukaryota; Metazoa; Arthropoda; Insecta; Diptera; Drosophilidae.